UACGUAGGGUGCAAGCGUUUGUCCGGAAUUAUUGGGCGUAAAGAGCUCGUAGGCGGUUUGUCGCGUCUGCUGUGAAAUCUGGGGGCUCAACCCCCAGCCUGCAGUGGGUACGGGCAGACUAGAGUGUGGUAGGGGGAGACUGGAAUUCCUGGUGCAGCGGUGAAAUGCGCAGAUAUCAGGAGGAACACCGAUGGCGAAGGCAGGUCUCUGGGCCACUACUGACGCUGAGAAGCGAAAGCAUGGGGAGCGAACAGG
RNAcentral lists this ribosomal RNA (255 nucleotides) under uncultured bacterium. RNAcentral's name for it is "partial 16S ribosomal RNA". It matches the Rfam family "Bacterial small subunit ribosomal RNA", at positions 524 to 776 of the family's 1533-position model. The record is from RNAcentral.